UUACUAUUUUGGCAGAUUAGUGCAAUAAAUUUAGAAUUUAUAAAUAUAAUUAAUAAUUAUAAAUAGUA
Molecule: transfer RNA, 68 nt
Filed under: Anopheles sinensis
Lineage: Eukaryota; Metazoa; Arthropoda; Insecta; Diptera; Culicidae
Description: tRNA-Leu
Source: RNAcentral